UACGUAGGGCGCAAGCGUUAUCCGGAAUUAUUGGGCGUAAAGAGCUCGUAGGCGGUUUGUCGCGUCUGCCGUGAAAGUCCGGGGCUCAACUCCGGAUCUGCGGUGGGUACGGGCAGACUAGAGUGGCGGUAGGGGAGAUUGGAAUUCCUGGUGUAGCGGUGGAAUGCGCAGAUAUCAGGAGGAACACCAAUGGCGAAGGCAGAUCUCUGGGCCGUAACUGACGCUGAGGAAGCGAAAGCAUGGGGAGCGAACAGG
Molecule: ribosomal RNA, 255 nt
Filed under: uncultured bacterium
Lineage: Bacteria
Description: partial 16S ribosomal RNA
Rfam family: Bacterial small subunit ribosomal RNA
Source: RNAcentral